UGCCAGACUCCUACGGGAGGCAGCAGUGGGGAAUAUUGCACAAUGGGGGGAACCCUGAUGCAGCGACGCCGCGUGAGUGAAGAAGUAUUUCGGUAUGUAAAGCUCUAUCAGCAGGGACGAAGAUGACGGUACCUGCAGAAGAAGCCCCGGCUAACUACGUGCCAGCAGCCGCGGUAAUACGUAGGGGGCAAGCGUUAUCCGGAUUUACUGGGUGUAAAGGGAGCGUAGACGGCAGGGCAAGCCAGAAGUGAAAGCCCAAGGCUCAACCAUGGGACUGCUUUUGAAACUGUCAAACUAGAGUACGGGAGAGGUAAGAGGAAUUCCUAGUGUAGCGGUGAAAUGCGUAGAUAUUAGGAGGAACACCAGUGGCGAAGGCGUCUUACUGGACCGAAACUGACGUUGAGGCUCGAAAGCGUGGGGAGCAAACAGGAUUAGAUACCCGGGUAC
RNAcentral lists this ribosomal RNA (447 nucleotides) under uncultured bacterium. Its description in RNAcentral is "partial 16S ribosomal RNA". It matches the Rfam family "Bacterial small subunit ribosomal RNA", at positions 329 to 793 of the family's 1533-position model. The record is from RNAcentral.